GGUCAAGCGAACAAGUGCAUGUGGUGGAUGCCUUGGCGAUCACAGGCGAUGAAGGACGCGGUAGCCUGCGAAAAGCCCCGGGGAGCUGGCAAACAAGCUUUGAUCCGGGGAUGUCCGAAUGGGGAAACCCACUCCUUUUGGAGUAUCCAUGACUGAAUACAUAGGUCAUGUGAAGCGAACGCGGUGAACUGAAACAUCUAAGUAACCGCAGGAAAAGAAAUCAACCGAGAUUCCCAAAGUAGUGGCGAGCGAAAUGGGAUGAGCCUUGUACUCUUUAUUUGUAUUGUUAGCCGAACGCUCUGGAAAGUGCGGCCAUAGCAGGUGAUAGCCCUGUAGGCGAAAACAGUAUGAAAGAACUAGGUGUACGACAAGUAGGGCGGGACACGUGAAAUCCUGUCUGAAGAUGGGGGGACCAUCCUCCAAGGCUAAAUACUCGUGAUCGACCGAUAGUGAACCAGUACCGUGAGGGAAAGGCGAAAAGAACCCCGGGAGGGGAGUGAAAUAGAUCCUGAAACCGCAUGCAUACAAACAGUCGGAGCCUCGUAAGGGGUGACGGCGUACCUUUUGUAUAAUGGGUCAGCGACUUACGUUCAGUAGCAAGCUUAACCGUAUAGGGCAGGCGUAGCGAAAGCGAGUCCGAAUAGGGCGUUCAGUUGCUGGGCGUAGACCCGAAACCAGGUGAUCUAUCCAUGGCCAGGAUGAAGGUGCGGUAACACGUACUGGAGGUCCGAACCCACUAACGUUGAAAAGUUAGGGGAUGAGCUGUGGAUAGGGGUGAAAGGCUAAACAAACCUGGAAAUAGCUGGUUCUCUCCGAAAACUAUUUAGGUAGUGCCUCGUGUCUCACCUUCGGGGGUAGAGCACUGUCAUGGUUGGGGGGUCUAUUGCAGAUUACCCCGCCAUAGCAAACUCCGAAUACCGAAGAGUGCAAUCACGGGAGACAGACAUCGGGUGCUAACGUCCGGUGUCAAGAGGGAAACAACCCAGACCGCCAGCUAAGGUCCCCAAAUAUGGCUAAGUGGGAAACGAAGUGGGAAGGCUAAAACAGUCAGGAGGUUGGCUUAGAAGCAGCCACCCUUUAAAGAAAGCGUAAUAGCUCACUGAUCGAGUCGUCCUGCGCGGAAGAUGUAACGGGGCUAAGCCAUAUACCGAAGCUGCGGAUGCGUGCUUGCACGCAUGGUAGGAGAGCGUUCCGUAAGCCUGCGAAGGUGCCUUGUAAAGGGUGCUGGAGGUAUCGGAAGUGCGAAUGCUGACAUGAGUAGCGAUAAAGGGGGUGAAAGGCCCCCUCGCCGUAAGCCCAAGGUUUCCUACGCAACGUUCAUCGGCGUAGGGUGAGUCGGCCCCUAAGGCGAGGCAGAAAUGCGUAGCUGAUGGGAAGCAGGUCAAUAUUCCUGCACCAUUGUUAGAUGCGAUGGGGGGACGGAUCGCGGAAGGUUGUCCGGGUGUUGGACGUCCCGGUCGCUGCAUUGGAGAAGGCGCUUAGGCAAAUCCGGGCGCAGGAUUCAAGGGUGUGGCGCGAGCGACUUCGGUCGCGAAGCAAUUGGAAGUGGUUCCAAGAAAAGCCUCUAAGCUUCAGUCUAACGAUGACCGUACCGCAAACCGACACAGGUGGGCGAGAUGAGUAUUCUAAGGCGCUUGAGAGAACUCGGGAGAAGGAACUCGGCAAAUUGGUACCGUAACUUCGGGAUAAGGUACGCCCUUGUAGCUUGACCAGCCUGCGCUGGAAGGGUGAAGGGGUUGCAAUAAACUGGUGGCUGCGACUGUUUAAUAAAAACACAGCACUCUGCAAACACGAAAGUGGACGUAUAGGGUGUGACGCCUGCCCGGUGCCGGAAGAUUAAAUGAUGGGGUGCAAGCUCUUGAUUGAAGUCCCGGUAAACGGCGGCCGUAACUAUAACGGUCCUAAGGUAGCGAAAUUCCUUGUCGGGUAAGUUCCGACCUGCACGAAUGGCGUAACGAUGGCCACACUGUCUCCUCCCGAGACUCAGCGAAGUUGAAGUGUUUGUGAUGAUGCAAUCUACCCGCGGCUAGACGGAAAGACCCCAUGAACCUUUACUGUAGCUUUGCAUUGGACUUUGAACCGAUCUGUGUAGGAUAGGUGGGAGGCUAUGAAACCGGAACGCUAGUUUCGGUGGAGCCGUCCUUGAAAUACCACCCUGGUUUGUUUGAGGUUCUAACCUUGGUCCGUGAUCCGGAUCGGGGACAGUGCAUGGUAGGCAGUUUGACUGGGGCGGUCUCCUCCCAAAGGGUAACGGAGGAGUACGAAGGUACGCUAGGUACGGUCGGAAAUCGUGCUGAUAGUGCAAUGGCAUAAGCGUGCUUAACUGCGAGACCGACAAGUCGAGCAGGUGCGAAAGCAGGUCAUAGUGAUCCGGUGGUUCUGUAUGGAAGGGCCAUCGCUCAACGGAUAAAAGGUACUCUGGGGAUAACAGGCUGAUACCGCCCAAGAGUUCAUAUCGACGGCGGUGUUUGGCACCUCGAUGUCGGCUCAUCUCAUCCUGGGGCUGUAGCCGGUCCCAAGGGUAUGGCUGUUCGCCAUUUAAAGAGGUACGUGAGCUGGGUUUAAAACGUCGUGAGACAGUUUGGUCCCUAUCUGCCGUGGGCGUUGGAUAUUUGAAGGGGGCUGCUCCUAGUACGAGAGGACCGGAGUGGACGAACCUCUGGUGUACCGGUUGUGACGCCAGUCGCAUCGCCGGGUAGCUAUGUUCGGAAGAGAUAACCGCUGAAAGCAUCUAAGCGGGAAACUCGCCUUAAGAUGAGAUAUCCCUGGAGGCUUGACCUCCUUGAAGGGUCGUUCGAGACCAGGACGUUGAUAGGUCGGGUGUGUAAGCGCAGUAAUGCGUUCAGCUAACCGAUACUAAUUGCCCGUAAGGCUUGAUCCU
Molecule: ribosomal RNA, 2881 nt
Filed under: Burkholderia multivorans
Lineage: Bacteria; Pseudomonadati; Pseudomonadota; Betaproteobacteria; Burkholderiales; Burkholderiaceae
Description: 23S ribosomal RNA
Rfam family: Bacterial large subunit ribosomal RNA
Source: RNAcentral